RNAcentral lists this unclassified non-coding RNA (225 nucleotides) under plant metagenome. RNAcentral describes it as "partial contains small subunit ribosomal RNA, internal transcribed spacer 1, and 5.8S ribosomal RNA". The record is from RNAcentral.
UUUCCGUAGGUGAACCUGCGGAAGGAUCAUUAGUCAAUUGUAUAUGUAAGCGGUCUACCUCGGAGUCCCUAGCAGCAAAUCAUAUCCAUAACACAUGUGUACUUUAAGGCUGCCUUGAAAACGAAAGUGAUUAGAGCGCCUGCCCAUUUCAUACAAACAUAAAAGUAACAAACGUAGUCUUAUUUUAAUCAAAUAAAACUUUCAACAACGGAUCUCUUGGAUCUC